RNAcentral lists this long non-coding RNA (1007 nucleotides) under Felis catus (domestic cat). RNAcentral describes it as "lncRNA (ENSFCAG00000048651.1)". Lineage: Eukaryota; Metazoa; Chordata; Mammalia; Carnivora; Felidae. The record is from RNAcentral.
GUCCGACUCCCCGCACCACCACGUGCUAGCUGUGUGCCCUCGGCCAGGUCACCGAACCUCUCUGUGCCUCUGUUUCUCAUCUGUGAAAUUCGAUUGCUAGUCCAUAGUACCUGCCAUAUGCCGUUGGUGGGAAGCCAUGCCACGACAGCAGUGAAGUGCUCGGGACAGUGCGCAGAGGGGACCCCGUGAGCACGCUUGCCAGCAGCAGCAAUUUUCCUCUUGACCAGAUGGAGCUCCCGGGUGGUGAGAUGAGCCAUCCACAGUGAGCUCAGUCUUCUUGUUGCCGGACAAGUCAGGGGGACGGAAGUGAGACAGAGGCAUCCAGGACUUCCCACGGGUCGAGCACCUUGCUACUGUAUUCUUUCACUCUCUUUGUUAAAAGACUGUCUCUCUAACAUCUUCGCUGGAUCAUUUUAUAAGGAUCAAAUUCAUCUCGAAACCACUGCCGUUACUUUAAUGACACCUUUCUGGAGACCCCAGCAGAGCACAGGUGAGUACUACAAAUUCUCUUCUGUUCCUUUUUUUUUUUUUUUUUUUUUUUUGAAUUUGUUGACUUAAUGGUAGGGUCUCCUGGCUCCUUUCAAACCCAUUUCUUUUUUUCCCCAGAGUGUCCUUUAUCUCCUGGUUUGGCCCAGUGGCAAUAAGCUUGAAAUAUGCUGGUGAGAAGGGGAGGCUUACAGAGCCUUUGAGACCCAAGUGAUGUCUCCGAUGACGCACAACCUCCUCACAGGACGUGGUGGGCUUAAAAAAGCUCUUUCCAAUCACUCAGAUUAUUUCCCCUGGUAGAGCUGUGGCCCAAAAUAUCCAACAGUCCAUUCCCAGUGCGCCUCUCGAGGCUCAGAUGCUGCAAGGAUGGCGAUCUUCCUGGGAAAUGCAGCUGCUGUUACAUAAUAAGGGGUGGCUCUUCCCUGUCUUAGCAGAGACAACCGUCCCUGUUGAUUGGGGCAGGGAAUUCAUCAAAGUCAUACUUCAGACUCAGCGCCGACACUAACUCUCUUGGCUCCGAG